GAUGAACGCUGGCGGCGUGCCUAAUACAUGCAAGUCGAGCGAACAGACGAGGAGCUUGCUCCUCUGACGUUAGCGGCGGACGGGUGAGUAACACGUGGAUAACCUACCUAUAAGACUGGGAUAACUUCGGGAAACAGUAUCUAAUACCGGAUAAUAUAUUGAACCGCAUGGUGCCAUAGUGAAAGACGGUUUUUGUGACACUUAUAGAUGGAUCCGGCCCUCCUUAAGUAGUUGGUAAGGUAACGGAUUACCAAGGCAACGAUGGAUAGCCGCCCAGAGCGGGUGAUCCGCCACCCUGGAAGUGAGACACGGCCCAGACUCCUGCGGGAGGCAGCAGUCGGGAAUCUUCCGCAAAGGACCAAAGCCUAAUGUAGCAACGCCGCGUGAGUGAUGAAGGUGUUCGGACCCUAAAACUCUGUUAUUAGGGAAGAACAAAUGUGUAAGUAACUAUGCACGUAUUGACGGUACCUAAUCAGAAAGCCACGGCUAACUACGUG
Molecule: ribosomal RNA, 497 nt
Filed under: uncultured bacterium
Lineage: Bacteria
Description: partial 16S ribosomal RNA
Rfam family: Bacterial small subunit ribosomal RNA
Source: RNAcentral